GUGAGGAAUAUUGGUCAAUGGACGAGAGUCUGAACCAGCCAAGUCGCGUGAAGGAAGACGGUUCUAUGAAUUGUAAACUUCUUUUGUGCAGGAAUAAAGUGGGUUACGUGUAACCUUUUGUAUGUACUGUACGAAUAAGGAUCGGCUAACUCCGUGCCAGCAGCCGCGGUAAUACGGAGGAUCCGAGCGUUAUCCGGAUUUAUUGGGUUUAAAGGGUGCGUAGGUGGAUUGAUAAGUCAGCGGUGAAAGUUUGCAGCUUAACUGUAAAAUUGCCGUUGAAACUGUCGGUCUUGAGAGCAAAUGAGGUAGGCGGAAGGUGUUGGGUAGCGGUGAAAUGCUUAGAUAUAACACAGAACUCCGAUUGCGAAGGCAGCUUACUGGGAUGCAACUGACACUGAUGCACGAAAGCGUGGGUAUCAAACAGGAUUAGAUACCCUUGUAGUCC
Molecule: ribosomal RNA, 445 nt
Filed under: uncultured bacterium
Lineage: Bacteria
Description: partial 16S ribosomal RNA
Rfam family: Bacterial small subunit ribosomal RNA
Source: RNAcentral